GGGGCUGACUGGUUUUGACAGCAUGAGGGGUGGUAUAUAAGCAUGCAGCAUGGGGUGAAACGUUGCUUGAACAGGGUCACAAAACAACAAAUGGCGAAUCUAAUUUUGCUCUCGCCGCUUAAGCGAAUAAUAGUAACUUAAGCCUUCCCUUACGGGAUAUUUCGGCACCAGGUGCCGGAACGAGACGUCUCCCGGGCGGUCAUGCCCGGUACCAACCCGAUCAGGAGGCGCACGCAAUUCAGGGCUAGCCGGAGGAUUUUCCCGCUCCAAAGGUUAAAAAAAUAGGGAAUAAGGGGUCGUUAGGUUGCUCUGCGGCUGAUGGCCCACGAAAAUCAAGCAGGGAUAAGCAUGUAGAAAGUAUAUGGUCCCAAUGUUUGGACGCGGGUUCGACUCCCGCCAGCUCCACUU
This 408-nucleotide transfer-messenger RNA is filed under the name Bacteroidales. RNAcentral's name for it is "DUOU01 sp012838685 Standard tmRNA". It matches the Rfam family "transfer-messenger RNA". From Rfam's summary of the family: Bacterial tmRNA, also known as 10Sa RNA or SsrA, is named for its dual tRNA and mRNA-like properties. Its role is to liberate the mRNA from a stalled ribosome. RNAcentral also lists the same sequence under 1 other name. Lineage: Bacteria; Pseudomonadati; Bacteroidota; Bacteroidia. The record is from RNAcentral.